RNAcentral lists this transfer RNA (73 nucleotides) under Dentathalia scutellariae. RNAcentral's name for it is "tRNA-Val". The record is from RNAcentral. Lineage: Eukaryota; Metazoa; Arthropoda; Insecta; Hymenoptera; Athaliidae.
CAAAUUAAUUUUUUUUAGAAAAAUAUUUUUUUUUACAAGAAAGUAGAUUGUUGUGCAAUUCAACUUAAUUUGA